GAUGAAGAACGUAGCGAAAUGCGAUACGUAUGUGAAUUGCAAAUUCAGUGAAUCAUCGAGUCUUUGAACGCACAUUGCGCCCCCUGGUAUUCCGGGGGGCAUGCCUGUCCGAGCGUCAUUGCUGCCCUCAAGCACGGCUUGUGUGUUGGGCCCCGUCCUCCGAUCCCGGGGGACGGGCCCGAAAGGCAGCGGCGGCACCGCGUCCGGUCCUCGAGCGUAUGGGGCUUUGUCACCCGCUCUGUAGGCCCGGCCGGCGCUUGCCGAUCAACCCAAAUUUUUAUCCAGGUUGACCUCGGAUCAGGUAGGGAUACCCGCUGAACUUAAGCAUAUCAAUAAGCGGAGA
Molecule: unclassified non-coding RNA, 343 nt
Filed under: soil metagenome
Description: partial contains 5.8S ribosomal RNA, internal transcribed spacer 2, and large subunit ribosomal RNA
Rfam family: 5.8S ribosomal RNA (bases 1-118)
Source: RNAcentral